Molecule: transfer RNA, 62 nt
Filed under: Symplana brevistrata
Lineage: Eukaryota; Metazoa; Arthropoda; Insecta; Hemiptera; Lophopidae
Description: tRNA-Arg
Source: RNAcentral
AAGUAAAGAAGUAAAAUACAAUUUAAUUUCGACUUAAAUUUAGAGAAAAUUCUCCUUACUUU